This 516-nucleotide ribosomal RNA is filed under the name Triticum aestivum (bread wheat). Its description in RNAcentral is "partial small subunit ribosomal RNA". The record is from RNAcentral. Lineage: Eukaryota; Viridiplantae; Streptophyta; Magnoliopsida; Poales; Poaceae.
AAAAUGACAAAUAUGGUUCGAUGGCUCUUCUCUACUAACCACAAGGAUAUUGGGACUCUCUAUUUCAUCUUCGGUGCCAUUGCAGGAGUGAUGGGCACAUGCUUCUCCGUACUGAUUCGUAUGGAAUUAGCCCGACCCGGCGAUCAAAUUCUUGGUGGGAAUCAUCAACUUUAUAAUGUUUUAAUAAUGGCUCGCGCUUUUUUAAUGAUCUUUUUUAUGGUUAUGCUGGCGAUGAUAGGUGGAUUUGGUAAUUGGUUUGUUCCGAUUCUGAUAGGUGCACCUGACAUGGCAUUUCCACGAUUAAAUAAUAUAUCAUUCUGGUUGUUGCCACCAAGUCUCUUGCUCCUAUUAAGCUCAGCCUUAGUAGAAGUGGGCAGCGGCACUGGGUGGACAGUCUAUCCGCCCUUAAGUGGUAUUACCAGCCAUUCUGGAGGAGCAGUUGAUUUAGCAAUUUUUAGUCUUCAUCUAUCAGGUAUUUCAUCAAUUUUAGGUUCUAUCAAUUUUAUAACAUCUAUC